GCCAGUUGUACACCGGCUCCCGCUGCAGCCCUCCGCCCGGGCCGCCCGCCGGGGCCGCCCCCACUCCCGGGCCUCCUCCUCCUCCUCCCGCUCCUCCCGCCGCCGCCGCCGGGUUGUUGGCUCCGCACUGGUUGUAGGGCUGUGCCAGGCGUAGGAUCGGAGCUGGGAGACCCCGCACAGCUGAGGGAUCUCCUGGGACCAAUCUGUGGCUGCACACACCGGCGUGGAUCGACGGCUUUGCGUCACGUUAUCGCAUAUCUGCUCCUGCUGCAUUGCACACCGGCAGGUUUCUGCUGCAUUAUCCUAAUUGGGGGAACUCCCAUUCCCACAGCUAUGCUGGGGCCCAGAGCCGGCCAUUAACUGACCCUUCUGGCACCCGAUCUGCAUGCAGGAAUGCACGGUGGCCUCGAGAGGGACGCUGCUUUUCCCUCUGAAAUCUUUCUGCUAUUACUGAUAACUGAGCACUGAAUAUGGACGCGCUCUCUUUCAAAAGCACCACGUCCUUCUCCUUGCAGCACGGCGCAGACUCACACCCCGUUGCUGGCAGAGCUGCUUCCACGCAUUUCAGCAUUGGUUUUUUUUGCUCAAAACUGUGUUUUCUGCUCUCUCCUGCUUGUGUUUCACUGCCUCGUCAGGGCUGCAAACAUCAGAGGGAGCUGCAGGCUGCUGCUCGGCCCCGUGUGCGGCUGCAAGGGUGGACACCGCGUGGAGCAAGCAGCACCGGCCCUUGGCCACCGUGCAGGCGGCUAAUUAGAGCCCUGCGUGUGAUGAAAUAAAUGAAAAUGAGUCAUUUUGUGGUGGUGGCCUGAUGGAAAGAAGCCCAGGAGGGAAGGGAUCGUAUGGACAGUGCAGGAAUGUGCUCGGGGUGCUGUCACACCCAGGCAGGGGUGCAGAAAGGACGGGGAGAAGCGGCUGCCCGUCCCUGGAGUGAAGCAGAAGUGAUCAGCAGUGUUAUUAGACAAAGAGGCGCCGUCAGAAACAGUGCCAUCUGGGAGGCUUCGACUUCCCCGAAAUAAAGCUGAGAACAAACGCUCCUAAAAACGGCACCGUGCUGCUAUUUCUAGACCUGAUCACCACCAGAUUGCUUUACCAAUCAGGCGCUCGCAGCCGGCUCAGCACAACGAGCAGCCCGAGCACAGCCACGCUGCAGGAAGCAGAGGACAUCCUACGUUGCUCUGCGCUGUGGAGGUGCAUUCCAAGCAGAAGAUGGGAACAGAGACCCACAGAAGCGUCACCCAGCCAGCCCCAAGCAGAGGCAGCGGGGUACAAUGCGUCAGCCCAGCUUUGGCAGUCUUCAUCCAUUGUAAAGCGGAGAAAAUCCCCCCAUUUCCAUUAAAAAAAAAGAAGUUAGCUUCACAGUACAAGUUUCUACCCAGUCCUACGUCAGGUUAGUGGGGCCGGAGGGGGAGUGCAGGGAUGGGAAGGGGGCAAAAUGCUUAAAGUUUCCAGCUUCAAAACUAUCGUAACAUCUGGUUUCUGGGAUAGGUGCUCUGUGGGGCUUUGCAGGAGUGGGUGAAGGGCUUUGGGGAGCACCCAUGGGUGCCACAGGGCUGAUCCUGGAGGUGGGGGACAGCCCAGCCCCACAGCCCAGCCCUGUGCUGCUCCCACCCCACAGCAGACCUCGGGAACCCCAGCCCGAGGUGUUGGCUGCGCAUCCUUCCAGCAGUUCUUAAUAUAAGACAACGAGGAAUCAUCCACGACUGAUAGCACAAAGUAAGCGAUCCAUGUCACAACGUACAAUCAAGAUGGAUUUUCUGUUUUUCCUCGGGGG
This 1771-nucleotide long non-coding RNA is filed under the name Gallus gallus (chicken). The record is from RNAcentral. Lineage: Eukaryota; Metazoa; Chordata; Aves; Galliformes; Phasianidae.